RNAcentral lists this unclassified non-coding RNA (236 nucleotides) under plant metagenome. RNAcentral's name for it is "partial contains small subunit ribosomal RNA, internal transcribed spacer 1, and 5.8S ribosomal RNA". The record is from RNAcentral.
UUUCCGUAGGUGAACCUGCGGAAGGAUCAUUACUGAGUGAGGGCCCCUCGGGGUCCAACCUCCCACCCGUGUUUAACGAACCUUGUUGCUUCGGCGGGCCCGCCUCACGGCCGCCGGGGGGCAUCUGCCCCCGGGCCCGCGCCCGCCGAAGCCACCUGUGAACGCUGUCUGAAGUAUGCAGUCUGAGACAAUUAUUAAAUUAAUUGAAACUUUCAACAACGGAUCUCUUGGUUCCG